Long non-coding RNA from Eptesicus fuscus (big brown bat), 565 nucleotides. RefSeq lists it as uncharacterized. The transcript has 3 exons. The record is from RefSeq and is a predicted model, not a curated record. Lineage: Eukaryota; Metazoa; Chordata; Mammalia; Chiroptera; Vespertilionidae.
GGGUGAAUGGACCUCUCCAGCUCCCAAAUUUACUGCUACUCGACCUGAGGUCGCCCACGGGUCUGGAGGCACAAAGGUCCGCGUGCCUGUUCAGCGGGGCCCUCCUAAGUCCCCACUGCGCAGGCGCGGAAUGGGGAGGAAGACCAUUGAGUGGCCUUAGGCCGUCAAAUGAAAAAAGGUUGACAGAAACGAAACAGUUUCUUAAAAAAGGGGGGGAGGAGGGUGUAGUGGGGAAGGAAGAAAGCAAGAAAAGAAAGAAAUGGCAACCGUUCCUGAAGUAUAUGGAGUACAAAAGGGGUGGCAGGAGACGGAGAGCAGGGAGGAUGGACUAAGUUCAGGAGGUUGGACUGCUGAUGUCAGAAGGUUACACCUCUUCCCCAGGUGGCCCACAACCGCUGACUUACUGAGGCAGGAAUAUAAAGGCCUGGUCAUCUCAGUCCCACUCAAGACACCCCUGAAGGGCACAUGUGCUCCAGAGCUCCCAUGGGGUUGGACCUGCACCACAGCUCAACGUCUCUCUCUCUGCCCACUCCUGCUUCUUUCCCUCCCUCCCACAGGUGUUGAU